This 507-nucleotide ribosomal RNA is filed under the name Cervidellus vexilliger. RNAcentral's name for it is "SSU rRNA". It matches the Rfam family "Eukaryotic small subunit ribosomal RNA", at positions 88 to 590 of the family's 1831-position model. The record is from RNAcentral. Lineage: Eukaryota; Metazoa; Nematoda; Chromadorea; Rhabditida; Cephalobidae.
CGCGAAUGGCUCAUUACAACAGCUAACAAAUCUACUUGAUCUUGACACAAUCCUACUUGGAUAACUGUGGUAAUUCUAGAGCUAAUACAUGCAUUAAAGCUCUGACCUUCGGGGAAGAGUGCAUUUAUUAGAACAAAACCAAGCGGCUUCGGCUGUUUUCGGUUGACUCAUAGUAACUGAGCUGAUCGCAUGGUCUUGCACCGGCGACGUGUCUUUCAAGUAUCUGCCGUAUCAACUUUCGAUGGUAGUGUAUCUGACUACCAUGGUGAUCACGCGUAACGGAGAAUAAGGGUUCGACUCCGGAGAGUUCACCUGAGAAAUCGCGAACACAUCUAAGGAAGGCAGCAGGCGCGAAAAUUACCCACUCUCAGCACGAGGAGGUAGUGACGAAAAAUAACGAGACCGUUCUCUUAUGAGGCCGGUCAUCGGAAUGGGUACAAUUUAAACCCUUUAACGAGUAUCUAUGAGAGGGCAAGUCUGGUGCCAGCAGCCGCGGUAAUUCCAGCU